RNAcentral lists this small RNA (3478 nucleotides) under Rattus norvegicus (Norway rat). Its description in RNAcentral is "uncharacterized LOC103693092". The record is from RNAcentral. Lineage: Eukaryota; Metazoa; Chordata; Mammalia; Rodentia; Muridae.
GUGAGGGGGAAGAAGGAGAGGAGAGAGAAGAAUGCAUUUUUCCCCACAUUCUAGUAUUGUGCAACUAUACUAGGUGUGGUUGAUAUCCACAUGUUGAAUAGGAAAUAGUGUUUAGUUUCCCUGACAUAACUUGGUAGUUUAUUUCCAAUUUUUAAUAAGACAUUUCUAGAACAAUCAAGAGGACCAAAUUAGAAUAUAUGAAAGUGACAUUGUCAAGGUAAACACAGCCCUUAAAAUCAUCCACCACUUGGAAUUUAUUAGCCUCAUUCUUAUUCCCUCCCCCUACCAUAGGCCAGACAGCCAUAAUGGCAGUAGAUGGAGAACGGGCUGUAUGUGUCUUCCUUGUCAUAGCUUAACCUUGUGGACAAUAUGAACCAAGUUAGACAAUUUAAGAAGAAUGGAGGCACCUUGGUGUGCUCUGUUUCUCUCUGCGUUCCUAGGCCUGGUAGACAGGCUCUAUUUGUUUGAGAACCAAUGUCUCUUCAGAGUCUUACAAGAUAAAUGAACAAAAUGUUUGAGUAGAUAAAUGCAGAGCAAGCCAAGAUGACGAAUACUGAACAUAAGAGCCAAGCAAAUGUUAGAAUCUUAAUUUACAGGAUCUACAUUAUACCAUCACUACUUAGUAACCGUCCCUGGUGGGUGCUACGUACCCGUUGCUAUUAAAACAUUUACACAACCAAUCUAGAAAACUGACUCUCAGGCCCUCGUGAAGAUCCCUAAUCCACAGAGGGCCCAGGUUUCUUCCUUCCAGUGUCAGGACCUGAUGCUCAAGUCUGAGGAUCAGCUGGAUGACAGAAGGGUGUUUCAGAACUCCUGGGAACCAGAACAGAGAUCUUAAGUGACAGAAGAUUUCAGAAAGAACAGCUCUCCUCCGCUGCAUUGGGUGAUGCCAUUUUUCCCAGUCCUAAGCUAGGGGUGGUUUGCUGAGACCGAAAACUCCAUCAGAGGAAGACAUGUCCGCUAACUGCGGCUAAGUAUGAAUUCCUACCGGGAUUAGAAUUCGCACACCCUGACUUCCUAACUGAGACUCUCUUGGAGAACUGGGCCAAACUGGAACUUUAGAAACCUUGGUAGAAAACAGGAGUCUUGGCUUCUAGAAGACAGGAGGGACCAGAAGGGUCUGAAAGGCCCCUGCAUCAAAACCCUAAACUUCUGGUUGUCUUGGUUGAUGCGAUCCUUGAACAGGACUUCCUCAGAAGUGCCCCAGCAAAGCCAGCCUGAUCCAGCACCUCCAGGUGUGAGCAGAGCAGCCUCAGGAAUUCCCAGGUCCAGAUACUUCUAAGAAGAGGCACAGAGAGUUGUUAGAGAAUCCCUUGGUAUGGUAUUUUGCCCAGCGUCAACUGUCAACUUGACAUAGUCAAGAGCCAAUUGCUAAGAGAGUCUCAAAUGAGUGUCCUUUUCAGGUCAGUCUGUGGGUAUGGAUGUAAGAGACUGCCUUGAUUACUAGGUGAUGUUGGGUGUGCCCACUGCAGGAGGCACUAUUACCUGGGCUGUAUAAGAAAGCUAGCUAAGCGUAAGCCUGUGAGUGAGUCAGCAUCUAACAUUCACCUUUGCUUUCUGCUCCUUUCCUGCCCUUGACUUCCCUCGAUGAUGGACAGCAAUCUGGAAGCUGAAAUAAGCCCUUUCCUUCUUAAAGGGGGUUUUGGUCACGAUAUUUGUGGCAGCAACUGAAUCAAACUGGAAUAUUUGGAAUCUACGCCUUUUGAUGGGACUAUAAACAUCUUUUCACAGCUUCUGAACUACAUCCCAUAAUAUACAUGACCGCAUCCAUCACAGACAGCCAAGAGGCUGCUUCUGGGAUUUUUUUCCAUCCAGUAAUAUCUCUCUGGGUAAGAUGAUACACACGUCACUCACUUCAGGCCAGGGACAGGUGUGUUGUCUUUUGAUUUUUCUGCACACCGGUCUUCACCACCAUGUCUCAUGCCCAGCCUGCAUCAAGAGAUGGCUUGCCCCGAGCCAAUAUGAUUACAGAGGAAAAACAACAAAACCCUCUGACAUGGCUGGCUUUGAUGGGUCUAGUGUUAUUUGCUGCCCCCUUGUGGUCAGACUGGAUUCCCUCAUUCGCCUCUCCAGGACGUAUAGCAGGUUUCUGAAGAGAAAGCUUGGCAGAGUUUUGUUAGGAGGAACAGAGAGAAAGGUUGAAACUGGCGAGAGUUUUAAAUAAGAAAAGACUAAUGAAAUGGUUGCUACACUUGACACUCUCUGACCCUGUAGUCGUCUGUGGCAGGAAAUGGAUGGUUGUCGAGAAUCCGUUUGGGGCGCCGACUCCAGGUCCCUAUAAUUUAUCAUUUUUAUAUAUUCCAUCUUAGACCUUUUUAUAACUUGCACUUGCUUAUCUUAAAUUGCCUUCUCAGACCCUCACAACUCACUUAAGCUCCCAUAUCCUCAGACCUUUAUACAUCUUAAAUUUCUUUCUUAAAGGGCCGAGAUGUGGAGAAGUUGCCCGCCCCUCUCUUCCCUUCCUCCAACAACAGAGUCCCAUUGAGCUUUGUCCUUACCCACCCCACCCAGAAGAGAAACCAAGUUCCCCACCUAAGGUAGUAUUUUAUGUUUUGCUCUUUACUCUGUGACUUGCUAUUGCUAUCUUCCCAGGAGGUCUAAGAGCUCGGUGGUGGUAGAUCAUGUCUCAUGCACUUCCUGGUCUGUAGACCCGGGAGGGGAAUGCUGCAUUCAACAUGCCAUGCAAAUGCAUUUAUUUGCGGAGCCGCUCAAGUCCCCCACCAAAGCCUUCAAGCACGCUUUUGGCUCACUACACUUUUGUUUUAAAUCCACCAAUUUCCAACUGGCCUGGAAGCCGGUGAGCCAGUCAGCGAGUAAAAUUCGUCUCUGCUUUCUGCUUCAAGUUCCCGCUCUGGCUUCCCUCAGUGAUGGAUUCUGUGGUGACAGUUUUAAUUUUAAACACACUUUCCUGGGAGAGAAAUCUGGGCGAAUAAAAGUUCAUGCCACGAAGUUAUAUCCCACAGAUUGGUGAGGGCGGUGAAGAGGUAGAAGGUGCUUCCAAGGUGGUGCCUUUAUAUUUCUAAUUUCAAAAUGAAAACCAAUCGCGAAGAAAAGCCCUCUGCUUUCCCAAGUGUAUCCAUUUCUCCUUAAAAAGGAGAGGAAAAUUCUAGAAGGUUGGAGAACCUGCAGAAACCCCUCUUAGUACAAAAGAGCAGAUGCAACCAAAUUUGAAUGGAGUGAACGUGAGGGGAAAAUACAGCAGAGACAUUUACAUCGACUGUCUGGGAUGCUUCAGAACAUCUUUUCCCGUGCAUCUUGGGAAGUGUUAAAUCAUUUUGGAGUUUGAGGUCUGGAAAGGGAUACUGUGUGGUGGGGUUGGGCAUGUGUGCACAAGGAUGCUUAUGACUAGUAAGAGAAUUCCUUUCCCAUCCUCACAGGACUGCGGAAUCCAGACACACCAAAGUGACACAAAUACAAUACCCAGACUUCACUGUGUGAUGUGUAGGAGAAACUUAAUAAAUGUAGCUCUGACCUCUCA